GACGAACGCUGGCGGCGUGCUUAACACAUGCAAGUCGAACGAAGUGGCGAACGGGUGAGUAACGCGUAAUCAACCUGCCCUUCAGAGGGGGACAACAGUUGGAAACGACUGCUAAUACCGCAUACUGAAGGAGGGGAUUGCGUCUGAUUCGCUAGUUGGAGGGGUAACGGCCCACCGAGGCGAUGAUCAGUAGCCGGGCUGGGAGGAUGAACGGGCAAAUUGGGACUGGGGAACGGCCCAGACUCCUUCUGGAGGCAGCAGUGGGGGAUCUUCCGCAAUGGGCGAAAGUCUGACGGAGCAAAGCCGGGGGGGUGAUGACGGCCUUCGGGUUGUAAAGCUCUGUUAAUCGGGACGCGGUACCGGAAUAGAAAGCCACGGCUAACUACGUGCCAGCAGCCGCGGUAAUAC
RNAcentral lists this ribosomal RNA (408 nucleotides) under uncultured bacterium. Its description in RNAcentral is "partial 16S ribosomal RNA". It matches the Rfam family "Bacterial small subunit ribosomal RNA", at positions 28 to 526 of the family's 1533-position model. The record is from RNAcentral.